GACGAACGCUGGCGGCGUGCCUAAUACAUGCAAGUUGAGCAAUGAAGAUUGGUGCUUGCACCAAUUUGAAGAGCAGCGAACGGGUGAGUAACGCGUGGGGAAUCUGCCUUUGAGCGGGGGACAGCAUUUGGAAACGAAUGCUAAUACCGCAUAAUAACUUUAAACAUAAGUUUUAAGUUUGAAAGAUGCAAUUGCAUCACUCAAAGAUGAUCCCGCGUUGUAUUAGCUAGUUGGUGAGGUAAAGGCUCACCAAGGCGAUGAUACAUAGCCGACCUGAGAGGGUGAUCGGCCACAUUGGGACUGAGACACGGCCCAAACUCCUACGGGAGGCAGCAGUAGGGAAUCUUCGGCAAUAGACGAAAGUCUGACCGAGCAACGCCGCGUGAGUGAAGAAGGUUUUCGGAUCGUAAAACUCUGUUGGUAGAGAAGAACGUUGGUGAGAGUGGAAAGCUCAUCAAGUGACGGUAACUACCCAGAAAGGGACGGCUAACUACGUG
Molecule: ribosomal RNA, 497 nt
Filed under: uncultured bacterium
Lineage: Bacteria
Description: partial 16S ribosomal RNA
Rfam family: Bacterial small subunit ribosomal RNA
Source: RNAcentral